AUGCGAAUCCAGGAGCUUCCCGGCGAUUGCGAUGGCGGAGGCGGGGGCGGAGGGGCGGGGGAGCUGCAGCUGCGUCGGGAAGAUGGCGGGGCCGACGGUAGUGAGCUGAAGCGUGCGGCGGUUGGCGUCGGCGCUCGGAUGCUCUUCUACCCGACGCUGGUGUACAACGUCGUGAGAAACCAAUGCGAGUCUCACUUCCACUGGUGGGAUCAGGUCGACGAGCAUGUGCUGCUGGGUGCUGUUCCAUUCCCGAGCGAUGUUUUGCGGCUGCAGAAGCUUGGAGUUUGUGGUGUGGUCACACUAAACGAAUCAUAUGAGAGGCUUGUUUCCAAGUCACUGUACGAGGCUCAUGGGAUUGAAAACCUGGUGCUGCCAACUAGAGACUACCUUUAUGCGCCGUCAUUUGACAACCUUUGCAAGGCUGCUGACUUCAUCCACAGAAAUGCUUCAUGUGGUAAGCUGACUUAUGUUCACUGCAAAGCUGGACGGGGACGUAGCACCACCGUUGUUCUUUGCUACUUGGUGCAAUACAAACAAAUGACACCUGCUGGAGCUUUUGAACAUGUUCGGUCAUGCAGGCCAAGGGUGUUAUUGGCUUCCGCACAAUGGAAAGCUGUCCAGGAAUUCUACCAGCUUAGAGUGAAGAAAAUUCAGGGCUCCAGUUGCAUCGACAGCCCAAUCGUUAAAAAGGUUCCAUCUCCAUCUCCAGUGUUGCUUGCUACUCGGAACCUCAUCACUUUUGAUGAGAAGACAUUUGUGAUGGUCUCAGAAUCAGACCUUGAAGGGUAUAAUGCGGAUGCCUUGGCAGUUAACGUGGGAAGUGGUUUGUGGGAAAUAAGCUUAGUAUACCGUGUUCAGUUUGCCAGCCAGGCAGCAUUUGCAGGGUUUUCAUACCUGUGGUUACAGUGCCGCGCCCACAAGGACACGGAGGCACUCACUGAGAGCAUCGGUAGUGAGAGCUGCUCGCUGGAGGCGGAGCAGCCUGCAAACGGCCACCACUGUCUACUUCAAGGUGUCGUGGUUAAUCCGUGA
RNAcentral lists this ribosomal RNA (1032 nucleotides) under Triticum aestivum (bread wheat). Its description in RNAcentral is "partial small subunit ribosomal RNA". The record is from RNAcentral. Lineage: Eukaryota; Viridiplantae; Streptophyta; Magnoliopsida; Poales; Poaceae.